This 253-nucleotide ribosomal RNA is filed under the name uncultured bacterium. RNAcentral describes it as "partial 16S ribosomal RNA". It matches the Rfam family "Bacterial small subunit ribosomal RNA", at positions 524 to 776 of the family's 1533-position model. The record is from RNAcentral.
UACGUAGGGGGCAAGCGUUGUCCGGAAUCAUUGGGCGUAAAGAGCGUGUAGGCGGUCCGGUCAGUCGGUUGUGAAAGUCAAGGGCUCAACCCUUGAAUGCCGGCCGAUACUGCCGGGCUAGAGUCCGGAAGAGGUGAGUGGAAUUCCUGGUGUAGCGGUGAAAUGCGCAGAUAUCAGGAGGAACACCAAUGGCGAAGGCAGCUCGCUGGAACGGUACUGACGCUGAGGCGCGAAAGCGUGGGGAGCAAACAGG